GGCUAUUGAUGGAUAUCCCGCUCAAGACAGGUCAUGGUUACAAUCAUGAGAUCUGAAGUCAUAAGCCAUUUAGAAAGUUUUGUUUUCGGUUAGCUGUAUCAUGAAUAGUAGCAGGCAGUGGAUGCAUUAGGUAGUUAGGUGGAAGUGCUGGUUGGUUUACCUGUAGUUUUUUACUCUCCAUUUUGAAGCUAUUCGUAUAUCGCACCGAGUAAGUAUGAUGUUUCACCUCAGUUAUACAGCGAACUCAUAUUAGAUGUG
Molecule: unclassified non-coding RNA, 258 nt
Filed under: Hevea brasiliensis (rubber tree)
Lineage: Eukaryota; Viridiplantae; Streptophyta; Magnoliopsida; Malpighiales; Euphorbiaceae
Source: RNAcentral